Molecule: non-coding RNA, 135 nt
Organism: Triticum aestivum (bread wheat)
Lineage: Eukaryota; Viridiplantae; Streptophyta; Magnoliopsida; Poales; Poaceae
Source: Rfam
CAAAUACUCCCUCCGUCCGGAAAUACUUGUCAUCAAAAUGGAUAAAAAGAAAUGUAUCUAGACAUAUUUUAGUUUUAGAUACAUCUCUUUUUAUCCAUUUUGAUGACAAGUAUUUUCGGACGGAGGGAGUAGAAA